GACCGGAUGGCGCAAUGGCAGCGCGUCUGUUUUCGGCACAGAAGGUUGCGCGUUCGAAUCGCGUUUCGGUCG
This 72-nucleotide transfer RNA is filed under the name Aspergillus sclerotiicarbonarius CBS 121057. RNAcentral describes it as "Aspergillus sclerotiicarbonarius (strain CBS 121057 / IBT 28362) tRNA". It matches the Rfam family "tRNA". From Rfam's summary of the family: Transfer RNA (tRNA) molecules are approximately 80 nucleotides in length. Their secondary structure includes four short double-helical elements and three loops (D, anti-codon, and T loops). Further hydrogen bonds mediate the characteristic L-shaped molecular structure. tRNAs have two regions of fundamental functional importance: the anti-codon, which is responsible for specific mRNA codon recognition, and the 3' end, to which the tRNAs corresponding amino acid is attached (by aminoacyl-tRNA synthetases). tRNAs cope with the degeneracy of the genetic code in two manners: having more than one tRNA (with a specific anti-codon) for a particular amino acid; and 'wobble' base-pairing, i.e. permitting non-standard base-pairing at the 3rd anti-codon position. Lineage: Eukaryota; Fungi; Ascomycota; Eurotiomycetes; Eurotiales; Aspergillaceae. The record is from Rfam by way of RNAcentral.